GCUUGUCUCAAAGAUUAAGCCAUGCAUGUCUAAGUAUAAACAUCUUUAUACUGUGAAACUGCGUACAGCUCAUUAUAUCAGUAAUUAUUUAUUUGAUGGUCACUUACUACAUGGAUAACCGUAGUAAUUCUAGAGCUAAUACAUGCGUAAAAUCCCGACUCUCGCGGGGAGGGAUGUAUUUAUUAGAUGGAAACCAAUGCGGGGCAACCCGGUAUAUGGUGAUUCAUAAUAACUUUCGGAUCGAUCUUCGGAUCGAUGCAUCAUUCAAGUUUCUGCCCUAUCAGCUUUGGAUGGUAGGGUAUUGGCCUACCAUGGCUUUAACGGGUAACGGAGAAUUAGGGUUCGAUUCCGGAGAGGGAGCCUGAGAAAUGGCUACCACAUCCAAGGAAGGCAGCAGG
This 398-nucleotide ribosomal RNA is filed under the name uncultured Spumella. RNAcentral describes it as "partial small subunit ribosomal RNA". It matches the Rfam family "Eukaryotic small subunit ribosomal RNA", at positions 30 to 432 of the family's 1831-position model. Lineage: Eukaryota; Synurophyceae; Ochromonadales; Ochromonadaceae. The record is from RNAcentral.